AGAGUUUGAUCAUGGCUCAGGACGAACGCUGGCGGCACGCUUAACACAUGCAAGUCGAACGAGAGAAGAGGAGCUUGCUUUUCUGAUCUAGUGGCGGACGGGUGAGUAACACGUGAGCAAUCUGCCUUUCAGAGGGGGAUACCGAUUGGAAACGAUCGUUAAUACCGCAUAACAUAAUUGAACCGCAUGAUUUGAUUAUCAAAGAUUUAUCGCUGAAAGAUGAGCUCGCGUCUGAUUAGCUAGUUGGUAAGGUAACGGCUUACCAAGGCGACGAUCAGUAGCCGGACUGAGAGGUUGAUCGGCCACAUUGGGACUGAGACACGGCCCAGACUCCUACGGGAGGCAGCAGUGGGGAAUAUUGCACAAUGGAGGAAACUCUGAUGCAGCGAUGCCGCGUGAGGGAAGGAGGUUUUAGGAUUGUAAACCUCUGUCUUCAGGGACGAAAAAAGACGGUACCUGAGGAGGAAGCUCCGGCUAACUACGUGCCAGCAGCCGCGGUAAUACGUAGGGAGCGAGCGUUGUCCGGAAUUACUGGGUGUAAAGGGAGCGUAGGCGGGAUCGCAAGUCAGAUGUGAAAACUAUGGGCUUAACCCAUAAACUGCAUUUGAAACUGUGGUUCUUGAGUGAAGUAGAGGUAAGCGGAAUUCCUAGUGUAGCGGUGAAAUGCGUAGAUAUUAGGAGGAACAUCAGUGGCGAAGGCGGCUUACUGGGCUUUAACUGACGCUGAGGCUCGAAAGCGUGGGGAGCAAACAGGAUUAGAUACCCUGGUAGUCCACGCCGUAAACGAUGAUUACUAGGUGUGGGGGGACUGACCCCUUCCGUGCCGCAGCAAACGCAAUAAGUAAUCCACCUGGGGAGUACGACCGCAAGGUUGAAACUCAAAGGAAUUGACGGGGGCCCGCACAAGCAGUGGAGUAUGUGGAUUAAUUCGAAGCAACGCGAAGAACCUUACCAGGUCUUGACAUCGUAUGCAUAGCUCAGAGAUGAGUGAAAUCUCUUCGGAGACAUAUAGACAGGUGGUGCAUGGUUGUCGUCAGCUCGUGUCGUGAGAUGUUGGGUUAAGUCCCGCAACGAGCGCAACCCUUACUGUUAGUUGCUACGCAAGAGCACUCUAGCAGGACUGCCGUUGACAAAACGGAGGAAGGUGGGGAUGACGUCAAAUCAUCAUGCCCCUUAUGACCUGGGCCUCACACGUACUACAAUGGCUGUCAACAGAGGGAAGCAAAGCCGCGAGGUGGAGCGAACCCCUAAAAGCAGUCUUAGUUCGGAUUGUAGGCUGCAACCCGCCUACAUGAAGUCGGAAUUGCUAGUAAUCGCAGAUCAGCAUGCUGCGGUGAAUACGUUCCCGGGCCUUGUACACACCGCCCGUCACGCCAUGGGAGUCGGUAACACCCGAAGCCUGUAGUAUAACCGCAAGGAGGACGCAGUCGAAGGUGGGAUUGAUGACUGGGGUGAAGUCGUAACAAGGUA
RNAcentral lists this ribosomal RNA (1470 nucleotides) under metagenome. RNAcentral describes it as "bacterial SSU rRNA". It matches the Rfam family "Bacterial small subunit ribosomal RNA". The record is from RNAcentral.